UACGAAGGGGGCGAGCGUUGUUCGGAAUUAUUGGGCGUAAAGAGCUCGUAGGCGGUUUGUCGCGUCUGCUGUGAAAACGCGAGGCUCAACCUCGCGCCUGCAGUGGGUACGGGCAGACUAGAGUUCGGUAGGGGAGACUGGAAUUCCUGGUGUAGCGGUGAAAUGCGCAGAUAUCAGGAGGAACACCUAUUGCGAAGGCAGCUCGCUGGGACGUAACUGACGCUGAGACGCGAAAGCGUGGGGAGCAAACAGG
This 253-nucleotide ribosomal RNA is filed under the name uncultured bacterium. Its description in RNAcentral is "partial 16S ribosomal RNA". It matches the Rfam family "Bacterial small subunit ribosomal RNA", at positions 524 to 776 of the family's 1533-position model. The record is from RNAcentral.